This 454-nucleotide ribosomal RNA is filed under the name uncultured Prevotella sp. Its description in RNAcentral is "partial 16S ribosomal RNA". It matches the Rfam family "Bacterial small subunit ribosomal RNA", at positions 341 to 792 of the family's 1533-position model. Lineage: Bacteria; Pseudomonadati; Bacteroidota; Bacteroidia; Bacteroidales; Prevotellaceae. The record is from RNAcentral.
ACGGAAGGCAGCAGUGAGGAAUAUUGGUCAAUGGGCGGAAGCCUGAACCAGCCAUGCCGCGUGAAGGAAUAAGGCCCUAUGGGUCGUAAACUUCUUUUGACGUAGAGCAAUAAGGUCCACGCGUGGAUCGAUGAGAGUACACGUCGAAUAAGCAUCGGCUAACUCCGUGCCAGCAGCCGCGGUAAUACGGAGGAUGCAAGCGUUAUCCGGAUUUAUUGGGUUUAAAGGGAGCGUAGGCCGUGCUUUAAGCGUGUUGUGAAAUGUAGGCGCCCAACGUCUGCACUGCAGCGCGAACUGGAGCACUUGAGUACGCAGGAAGUAGGCGGAAUUCGUCGUGUAGCGGUGAAAUGCUUAGAUAUGACGAAGAACUCCGAUUGGGAAGCCAGCUUACUGUAGCGCCACUGACGCUGAUGCUCGAAAGCGUGGGUAUCGAACAGGAUUAGAUACCCUGGUA